Long non-coding RNA from Ornithodoros turicata, 483 nucleotides. RefSeq lists it as uncharacterized. The transcript has 3 exons. NCBI's taxonomy places the organism in Eukaryota, Metazoa, Arthropoda, Arachnida, Ixodida, Argasidae. The record is from RefSeq and is a predicted model, not a curated record.
AAAGGAGGUCACGUGGGAUCUUGCGAAAUUAACAGCAAUGAAAAUGGCGAAACGAAACUUGUGAAUCGUGCAUUUGCUCUUCAUGGUAGCUGCCAGAAAAUCGAAUCAAACUUACGGGACACUGGAUUACAGGUUGCUGCCACUACUCCAUGUGCCCGCAAUUGUCUUGCGUGUAUGAUUACACUUAUGUCGUCGCCCACCACGGCGGAAGUAUUUUGCGUACACGCGUUUCAGCAUGAAGCCUGCAGGUGGACGUAAAUUGUAGAAGGCAGCUAGUGGGGGAGAAGAUCAUGGUCAUAGGUCAUGUGACUCCUGGAGCUCCCAGUGGGCUCCCUUGUGGAAUACUUUUCAGAACACACACACACACACAGUUUGCUCACAGAACCAACGAGUAGGAUGUUGCUUGAAUACUGAGAGAAAAUGGCGUAACACAUACAAAUAUCGUGUGACACAUAUGACAAUAAAAACAUUUUUCACGAGGGA